GAUUUUAUGCUUGCAUAAUUGAUUUUUGGAUUCGGAGCGAGUGGCGAACUGGUGAGUAACACGUGGGUAACCUGCCCCGAAGCGGGGGAUAACAUUUGGAAACAAGUGCUAAUACCGCAAAUUAGUUGGAACCGCAGGUUCCAACUUGAAAGAUGGCUCUGCUAUCACUUUGGGAUGGACCCGCGCCGUAUAGUUAGUUGGUGAGAUAAAAGCCCACCAAGACGAUGAUACGUAGCCGACCUGAGAGGGUAAUCGGCCACAUUGGGACUGAGACACGGCCCAGACUCCUACGGGAGGCAGCAGUAGGGAAUCUUCCACAAUGGACGAAAGUCUGAUGGAGCAACGCCGCGUGAGUGAUGAAGGUUUUCGGAUCGUAAAACUCUGUUGUUAAAGAAGAACAAGUGUUAGAGUAACUGUUAACACUUUGACGGUAUUUAACCAGAAAGCCACGGCUAACUACGUGCCAGCAGCCGCGGUAAUACGUAGGUGGCAAGCGUUGUCCGGAUUUAUUGGGCGUAAAGCGAGCGCAGGCGGUUUUGUAAGUCUGCUGUGAAAGCCCUCAGCUCAACUGAGGAAGUGCAGUGGAAACUACAAAACUUGAGUACAGAAGAGGAAAGUGGAACUCCAUGUGUAGCGGUGAAAUGCGUAGAUAUAUGGAAGAACACCAGUGGCGAAGGCGGCUUUCUGGUCUGUUACUGACGCUGAGGCUCGAAAGCAUGGGUAGCGAACAGGAUUAGAUACCCUGGUAGUCCAUGCCGUAAACGAUGAAUACUAGGUGUUGGAGGGUUUCCGCCCUUCAGUGCCGCAGCUAACGCAUUAAGUAUUCCGCCUGGGGAGUACGACCGCAAGGUUGAAACUCAAAGGAAUUGACGGGGGCCCGCACAAGUGGUGGAGCAUGUGGUUUAAUUCGAUGCUACGCGAAGAACCUUACCAGCUCUUGACAUCUUCUGCCAACCCAAGAGAUUGGGCGUUCCCUUCGGGGACAGAAUGACAGGUGGUGCAUGGUUGUCGUCAGCUCGUGUCGUGAGAUGUUGGGUUAAGUCCCGCAACGAGCGCAACCCUUAUUAUUAGUUGCCAGCAUUUAGUUGGGCACUCUAGUGAGACUGCCGGUGAUAAACCGGAGGAAGGUGGGGACGACGUCAAAUCAUCAUGCCCCUUAUGAGCUGGGCUACACACGUGCUACAAUGGAUGGUACAACGAGUCGCGAAACCGCGAGGUCAAGCUAAUCUCUUAAAGCCAUUCUCAGUUCGGAUUGCAGGCUGCAACUCGCCUGCAUGAAGUUGGAAUCACUAGUAAUCGUGGAUCAGCAUGCCACGGUGAAUACGUUCCCGGGCCUUGUACACACCGCCCGUCACACCAUGAGAGUUUGUAACACCCAAAGAC
RNAcentral lists this ribosomal RNA (1383 nucleotides) under Apilactobacillus kunkeei. Its description in RNAcentral is "bacterial SSU rRNA". It matches the Rfam family "Bacterial small subunit ribosomal RNA". Lineage: Bacteria; Bacillati; Bacillota; Bacilli; Lactobacillales; Lactobacillaceae. The record is from RNAcentral.